RNAcentral lists this long non-coding RNA (500 nucleotides) under Aotus nancymaae (Ma's night monkey). RNAcentral's name for it is "lncRNA (ENSANAG00000038867.1)". Lineage: Eukaryota; Metazoa; Chordata; Mammalia; Primates; Aotidae. The record is from RNAcentral.
GAUGUCUUGAUGGUUACUCCAGACAGUCAUUUUGGGGUUGUGUGUUUGUUCCUCUGACAGUUUUUGGGGUGGUGUGUUCUGGUCUCUGAGAGUCGUUUUUUGGAGGGAAGUUGUUCUGGUCUCUGGAACAGUUCAUUUUGGCGGCUGGCGUUGUUGUCUGGUCUCAGAGUUGUUUUUAGGGUGGUGUGUUCUGGUCUGACAGUCGUUUUUGGAGUGGUUGAGCGUUCUUUCUGGUCUCUGAGAGUCGUUUUUGGGGUAGUGUGUUCUGGUCUCUGAGAGUCGUUUUUGGGGUGGUGCGUUCUGGUCUCUGAGAGUUGUUUUUGGGGUGGUGUGUUCUGGUCUCUGGGAGUCGUUUUUGGGGUGGUGUGUUCUGGUCUCUGGGAGUCGUUUUUGGGGUGGCGUGUUCUGGUCUCUGGGAGUCGUUUUUGGGGUGGUGUGUUCUUGGUUCUGGGAGCGUUUUGUGGUGGCGUGUCUUUGGUCGUCUGAGAGUCCGUUUUGGC